AUGAACGCUGGCGGCGUGCCUAAUACAUGCAAGUCGCGCGAACGGACGAGAAGCUUGCUUCUCUGAUGUUAGCGGCGGACGGGUGAGUAACACGUGGAUAACCUACCUAUAAGACUGGGAUAACUUCGGGAAACCGGAGCUAAUACCGGAUAAUAUUUUGAACCGCAUGGUUCAAAAGUGAAAGACGGUCUUGCUGUCACUUAUAGAUGGAUCCGCGCUGCAUUAGCUAGUUGGUAAGGUAACGGCUUACCAAGGCAACGAUGCAUAGCCGACCUGAGAGGGUGAUCGGCCACACUGGAACUGAGACACGGUCCAGACUCCUACGGGAGGCAGCAGUAGGGAAUCUUCCGCAAUGGGCGAAAGCCUGACGGAGCAACGCCGCGCGAGUGAUGAAGGUCUUCGGAUCGUAAAACUCUGUUAUUAGGGAAGAACAUAUGUGUAAGUAACUGUGCACAUCUUGACGGUACCUAAUCAGAAAGCCACGGCUAACUACGUG
This 496-nucleotide ribosomal RNA is filed under the name uncultured bacterium. RNAcentral's name for it is "partial 16S ribosomal RNA". It matches the Rfam family "Bacterial small subunit ribosomal RNA", at positions 29 to 507 of the family's 1533-position model. The record is from RNAcentral.